This 255-nucleotide ribosomal RNA is filed under the name uncultured bacterium. Its description in RNAcentral is "partial 16S ribosomal RNA". It matches the Rfam family "Bacterial small subunit ribosomal RNA", at positions 524 to 776 of the family's 1533-position model. The record is from RNAcentral.
GACGUAGGGCGCGAGCGUUGUCCGGAUUUAUUGGGCGUAAAGAGCUCGUAGGCGGCUUGUCGCGUCGACUGUGAAAUCCCGCGGCUCAACCGCGGGUCUGCAGUCGAUACGGGCAGGCUAGAGUUCGGUGAGGGGAGACUGGAAUUCCUGGUGUAGCGGUGAAAUGCGCAGAUAUCAGGAGGAACACCCGAUGGCGAAGGCAGGUCUCUGGGCCGAUACUGACGCUGAGGAGCGAAAGCGUGGGGAGCGAACAGG